UACGUAGGGUGCAAGCGUUAAUCGGAAUUACUGGGCGUAAAGUGUGCGCAGGCGGUUUCGUAAGUCUGUCGUGAAAUCCCCGGGCUUAACCUGGGAAUGGCGAUGGAGACUGCGAGGCUAGAGUUUGGCAGAGGGGGGUAGAAUUCCACGUGUAGCAGUGAAAUGCGUAGAGAUGUGGAGGAACACCGAUGGCGAAGGCAGCCCCCUGGGUCAAAACUGACGCUCAUGCACGAAAGCGUGGGGAGCAAACAGG
RNAcentral lists this ribosomal RNA (253 nucleotides) under uncultured bacterium. RNAcentral's name for it is "partial 16S ribosomal RNA". It matches the Rfam family "Bacterial small subunit ribosomal RNA", at positions 524 to 776 of the family's 1533-position model. The record is from RNAcentral.